CCUACGGGAGGCAGCAGUGGGGGAAUCUUGCGCAAUGGGCGAAAGCCUGACGCAGCCAUGCCGCGUGAAUGAUGAAGGUCUUAGGAUUGUAAAAUUCUUUUCACCGGGGACGGAUAAUGACGGUACCCGGAGAAGAAGCCCCGGCUAACUUCGUGCCAGCAGCCGCGGUAAUACGAAGGGGGGCUAGCGUUGCUCGGAAUUACUGGGCGUAAAGGGAGCGUAGGCGGAUAGUUAAGUCAGAGGUGAAAGCCCAGGGCUCAACCUUGGAAUUGCCUUUGAUACUGGCUAUCUUGAGUAUGGGAGAGGUAAGCGGAACUCCGAGUGUAGAGGUGAAAUUCGUAGAUAUUCGGAAGAACACCAGUGGCGAAGGCGGCUUACUGGCCCAUUACUGACGCUGAGGCUCGAAAGCGUGGGGAGCAAACAGGAUUAGAUACCCUGGUAGUCCACGCCGUAAACGAUGAGAGCUAGUUGUCGGCAUGCAUGCAUGUCGGUGGACGCGAGCGUACGACAUAAGUACUCCUCCGUCCGUCGGGGUAGGGUACGGGUCCGGCGAAGAAGUUAAAACGUUUAAAACGUUAAGUAAGUUAGUUACGGUUACGUGUUAGACGUCGCCGACGGACGACCGACGAGGGGAGGUUAGG
This 641-nucleotide ribosomal RNA is filed under the name uncultured bacterium. RNAcentral describes it as "bacterial SSU rRNA". The stretch from base 1 to 523 matches the Rfam family "Bacterial small subunit ribosomal RNA", at positions 338 to 873 of the family's 1533-position model. The record is from RNAcentral.